UUCCUCCAAGAGCUUUAAUUCCCACGAUUGACGCCAUUAAACUCUGUACCAGGGCUUCUUCAGUAUCUUCCAGGCUCAGGUUUGAUGGUCUCACAAGAUCACAAAUAAGUCAGAGACAUGUGAGGGUUUCUGCAACGAACUCUACAUCUGGUUCUGGCAAUGGAAAAACACCUAAUGAAGAAGGUGAAAAGACAAUUAACAGUUCGGAGGGACCCCCAUUGCUUACAAUUCUGGCUGGAGCCUUGGUAUUUCUCUUCUUUUGUUGGCUUAUCGGAUCCACUGUAAUGUGGCUUAUCGGUCUGAUUGUGAGUGUGGCUUCACCCAAAUAGGGUUUCGUGUGUAUCAAGCUUUCUUUGUAAUUAUCAGUUUCGUUAAAAUUGUUGGACAUGGCAAGAAAUGUUUUUGAUCCAAUAUGUGUUUAACGCUGACUGUAAAAUUCUCUCUAUAUUGUGCGUAACUCAUGGUGGAAGAUUAUAGUACUACAAAGAUACUAUAUCCGUCCUUCUUUCAUAAGAUUCAAUUUUUU
Long non-coding RNA from Neltuma alba, 526 nucleotides. RefSeq lists it as uncharacterized. The record is from RefSeq and is a predicted model, not a curated record. The transcript has 2 exons. NCBI's taxonomy places the organism in Eukaryota, Viridiplantae, Streptophyta, Magnoliopsida, Fabales, Fabaceae.